AGCGAACGUUUGCGGCGGGCUUAACACAUGCAAGUCGAACGGGCUGUUCCUUCGGGGGCAGUCAGUGGCGCACGGGUGCGUAACACGUAGGUAAUCAACCCUCUGGUUGGGGAUAACACUUCGAAAGGAGUGCUAAUACCCGGUAUGGCGCAGCGGUCUUCGGAUCGCGGCGAGAAAGACCCGCAAGGGUUGCCAGAGGACGAGCCUGCGGCCCAUCAGCUAGUUGGCGAGGUAACGGCUCACCAAGGCGAAGACGGGUAGCUGGUCUGAGAGGAUGAUCAGCCACACUGGAACUGAGACACGGUCCAGACUCCUACGGGAGGCAGCAGUGGGGAAUAUUGCGCAAUGGGCGAAAGCCUGACGCAGCCACGCCGCGUGAGCGAUGAAGGCCUCGGGUCGUAAAGCUCUGUGGGAGGAGAAGAAUAAAGACCUGUGAAGAGCAGGCCUUGACGGUAUCUCCUUAGUCAAGCACCGGC
RNAcentral lists this ribosomal RNA (476 nucleotides) under uncultured bacterium. RNAcentral's name for it is "bacterial SSU rRNA". It matches the Rfam family "Bacterial small subunit ribosomal RNA", at positions 29 to 497 of the family's 1533-position model. The record is from RNAcentral.